AUGUGUAAGAUCGGUAUAGUCUGGUUCGGUCAGAACAUUGCUAAUCUGUGGAAAGCUCAUUAAACAAGUUAUGAAUUUAGCCACCUGGUUCUUCAAGGAAUAACACUGUCAACUGCAGCGAUAAUGCCUAGAAAAUCGGUUAACGCCGAGAACAUUAGGGUCUGGGUGAAUCCGCCUAUUUCGGGACUUGUUCCCUGUUGACCAUCGAGUCUGAGAGUUUAAGAUUCGGCUGUAAGGCUUGUUUCAUAGCUUUAUUGGUGGCCGGGAAGAUAUGUUUCUAAUCUAUCAGCCUGGAGGUUGGGUAAGGUCCAACCUUGGCUUUUACGGAUACAGGGGAUUGGUGUCCAACACUGGAGAGAGAGCCUGAGAAACGGCUAUCACAUCUAAGGACGGCAGCAGGCGCGUAAAUUACCCAAUUUUAAUUCAAAGAGGUAGUGACAAGACGUAGCGACUUUACACCAAAUGGUGGAAAGGUACCACUCUGUGGUUUGAAAUGGAUGGAAGUUAAAUGUCUCUAUGAGUAGCAAUUAGAGGGCAAGUCUGGUGCCAGCAGCCGCGGUAAUUCCAGCUCUAAAAGUGUAUAUUAAUACUGUUGUAGUUAAAACGCCCGUAGCGAACCCAAGAGGUAUCUUUGCCAGCCUGAUCAUGUAGCCAUGUCGUUCGUACCCUAACCGGUACUGCGUGUGGUAAAAGUGAUCCUCGGUUCUUAGCGGUUUGGAGCAAAAGCACACCGGCCGUGACGGAAUAGGUUUGGUUGGUAUUUGGUACUUCGCUCUUGUUCCACUUCGGUGGAGCAACCUAUUGGAGCAACCGUAAACAAAUCAGCGUGUUCAAAGCAGGCUAUGUAGUGGGUAACCCAUAUGCUUGAAUGAUUUAGCAUGGAAUUGCCUAAAGAUUACUUUCGGGUAGUCGCUAGUAAUGAGACACAGGAAGAGGUCUCCUAGUACUAUGGGGCGAGAGGUGAAAUUCAGUGACCACCAUAUGACUAUCUAAUGCGAAAGCAGUUGUGAGCCAGUACGUGUCUGUCAGUCAGGGACGAAAGUUGAGGGAUCGAAGAUGAUUAGAUACCGUCGUAGUCUCAACCGUAAACGAUACCAACACGAGAUUGGUAAUGAAACCAUUUAUAGAUCUUUUCAGAAUCCAAGGGAAACCGUUAAGUCUUUGGGUUCUGGGGGGAGUAUGGUCGCAAGGCUGAAACUUAAAGGAAUUGACGGAAAGGCACCACCAGGAGUGGAGUAUGCGGCUUAAUUCGACUCAACGCGGGGAAACUCACCAGGUUAGGAUGUGAAUAUGAUUGACAGAUUGAAGUUCUUUCUUGAUUUUACAGAAGGUGGUGCAUGGUCGUUCUUAGUUCGUGGAGUGAUUGCUCUUGUUAAUUCAGAUAACGAGCGAGACCUUAUCUUGCUAAUUAGGUGGAAGGGGGGUUUACCUACCCAUAUAUCAAUCGGACCCUGUAAAGGGCCAAUAGAUUUUCCAUAAAUCCAACCUUCGGGGAGGAUAACAUCUUAGAGGUACAGCACCCUCGGGGUAGGGUGAGGAAGUGUAAGGCAAUAACAGAUCUGUGAUGCCCUUAGAUAUCCUGGGCCGCACGCGUACUACAAUAUUCUUAGCAAUAGGUAACGUAUAGUCUGCUUCGGCAGCAACCCUUAUCGGAAACGAAUGGGAAAUCCUUUAAAGAAGUAAUAUGACUGGGAUUGAGGUUUGGAAGAUCCUCAUGAACGAGGAAUUCCUAGUAAGCAUGAUUCAUCAAGUCGUUGGCUUAGUCCC
Molecule: ribosomal RNA, 1767 nt
Filed under: Vahlkampfia inornata
Lineage: Eukaryota; Heterolobosea; Eutetramitea; Acrasida; Vahlkampfiidae
Description: SSU rRNA
Rfam family: Eukaryotic small subunit ribosomal RNA
Source: RNAcentral